RNAcentral lists this ribosomal RNA (468 nucleotides) under uncultured bacterium. RNAcentral describes it as "partial 16S ribosomal RNA". It matches the Rfam family "Bacterial small subunit ribosomal RNA", at positions 28 to 507 of the family's 1533-position model. The record is from RNAcentral.
GACGAACGCUGGCGGCGUGCUUAACACAUGCAAGUCGAACGGAAAGGCCCUGCUUUUGUGGGGUGCUCGAGUGGCGAACGGGUGAGUAACACGUGAGUAACCUGCCCUUGACUUUGGGAUAACUUCAGGAAACUGGGGCUAAUACCGGAUAGGAGCUCCUGCUGCAUGGUGGGGGUUGGAAAGUUUCGGCGGUUGGGGAUGGACUCGCGGCUUAUCAGCUUGUUGGUGGGGUAGGGGCUUACCAAGGCUUUGACGGGUAGCCGGCCUGAGAGGGUGACCGGCGACAUUGGGACUGAGAUACGGCCCAGACUCCUACGGGAGGCAGCAGUGGGGAAUAUUGCACAAUGGGCGGAAGCCUGAUGCAGCAACGCCGCGUGCGGGAUGACGGCCUUCGGGUUGUAAACCGCUUUCGCCUGUGACGAAGCGUGAGUGACGGUAAUGGGUAAAGAAGCACCGGCUAACUACGUG